AGAACGAACGCUGGCGGCAUGCCUAAUACAUGCAAGUCGAACGAACUCUUCGGAGUUAGUGGCGCACGGGUGCGUAACGCGUGGGAAUCUGCCCCUUGGUUCGGAAUAACAGUUGGAAACGACUGCUAAUACCGGAUGAUGACGAAAGUCCAAAGAUUUAUCGCCAAGGGAUGAGCCCGCGUAGGAUUAGCUAGUUGGUGAGGUAAAGGCUCACCAAGGCAACGAUCCUUAGCUGGUCUGAGAGGAUGAUCAGCCACACUGGGACUGAGACACGGCCCAGACUCCUACGGGAGGCAGCAGUGGGGAAUAUUGGACAAUGGGCGAAAGCCUGAUCCAGCAAUGCCGCGUGAGUGAUGAAGGCCUUAGGUUGUAAAGCUCUUUACCGGGAUGAUAAUGACAGUACGGAGAAUAAGCUCCGGCUAACUCCGUGCCAGCAGCCGC
Molecule: ribosomal RNA, 441 nt
Filed under: uncultured soil bacterium
Lineage: Bacteria
Description: bacterial SSU rRNA
Rfam family: Bacterial small subunit ribosomal RNA
Source: RNAcentral